This is a long non-coding RNA of Crotalus tigris (Tiger rattlesnake), 383 nucleotides long. RefSeq lists it as uncharacterized. The record is from RefSeq and is a predicted model, not a curated record. NCBI's taxonomy places the organism in Eukaryota, Metazoa, Chordata, Lepidosauria, Squamata, Viperidae. The transcript has 2 exons.
AUGGCCAGCUGCCUCUAUGUGGCCACGCAGAUCAAAAUCCUCCUUUCUGACUGGCAAAUAACGGGUCAGGGGACGAGACUAAAAUAAAGGAAGUAGUGACAUGUCUAAUACUGAUUCAGAAAACUACUAAAUUUGCUGGCAGAAGAUAUUUGGGUAAGCAAAAUUAUUUUAGAGUUUGAUAAACGGAAUGAAGUUCACACUUUUAAUUUUUAUUUAGUCUGCAAUCCUACUUAAGACAAAUAUUCAUAUAUGAUGUCCUUCUAAAAAUAUGAAUGGAUUUGCUAAAAGAAAAGAUUUUAACAUUAGCAUGACAAUGAAAAACUCAAAAUAAUGUCUCAAUUCAACAGUAAUUCAAGGAAAAAUUGUUUUGCAAAAAAAAAAAA